Molecule: ribosomal RNA, 356 nt
Filed under: uncultured Glomeraceae
Lineage: Eukaryota; Fungi; Glomeromycota; Glomeromycetes; Glomerales; Glomeraceae
Description: SSU rRNA
Rfam family: Eukaryotic small subunit ribosomal RNA
Source: RNAcentral
AGCAGCCGCGGUAAUUCCAGCUCCAAUAGCGUAUAUUAAAGUUGUUGCAGUUAAAAAGCUCGUAGUUGAAUUUCGGGAUUAGUACGUUGGUCGUGCCUUCGGUAUGUACUGAUGUUACUGGUUCCUACCUUCUGAAGAACCGUUAUGUCAUUAAUUUGAUGUGGCGGGGAAUCAGGACUGUUACUUUGAAAAAAUUAGAGUGUUUAAAGCAGGCUCGCGCUUGAAUACAUUAGCAUGGAAUAAUGAAAUAGGACGUUCGAUCCUAUUUUGUUGGUUUCUAGGAUUGACGUAAUGAUUAAUAGGGAUAGUUGGGGGCAUUAGUAUUCAAUUGUCAGAGGUGAAAUUCUUGGAUUUAU